Molecule: unclassified non-coding RNA, 242 nt
Filed under: Hevea brasiliensis (rubber tree)
Lineage: Eukaryota; Viridiplantae; Streptophyta; Magnoliopsida; Malpighiales; Euphorbiaceae
Source: RNAcentral
CUUAGCCACCAGUCUUCAGUUACUAGGUUCUUCCACUGGGUAGAGACUAGAGAGAGGUUGAAGAAGAGAUGUCGUGCCUGGCCUGCUUCGCCUCAUGCUGUGCAACUAUGACCUGUGGCCUCUGCACAUCAGUGGCCUCGGGUGUAUCCAGGAAAUCCGCAAGACUCGCUUACUGUGGUCUCUUUGGUCUUUCUCUGAUCGUUUCUUGGAUUUUCAGAGAAGUUGCUGCUCCGCUCUUGGAG